This is a long non-coding RNA of Polyodon spathula (Mississippi paddlefish), 753 nucleotides long. RefSeq lists it as uncharacterized. The transcript is spliced from 3 exons. NCBI's taxonomy places the organism in Eukaryota, Metazoa, Chordata, Actinopteri, Acipenseriformes, Polyodontidae. The record is from RefSeq and is a predicted model, not a curated record.
AUUGAAACUAAACUAAUCUCUGUUCUCAGCAUUCAUAUCCCGGUUAACACACACAGUGAUCACGAGUGGUUGCUUUGUUUGCUCACUCUAGUUUGUACAUGCCGUUCUGAGGAUUCCCAGCCAAUUCACUUUCAGUUUGCUGACAAAGAACAAAGAAAUGGAAAACCAAGAACAAAAUAUAGCAGGUGGGGCUGUGUGGCUCUAUUGCUGCAGCCAAUUGCCCUUAAUUAAUCGCAGAGCCAUUUGCAGAUAAAAGCCGAUCUGCCCAGAUAAAUAAGAAGCACCUGAUUCUGGUGAGCAGAACUGUGGAGAGCUGCACAGUCCAACUGAACUUUUAGAUUGUAGGACAAGGCUUUGUGGGCACUUCCAACACGACUUGGUCUAAGUUCCCGCAGGCUGGGUUUCUCACAGGUGGAGGUGGGACGCGAACCAGUGACCUCCCGCACUGAAUGAUCGCCUCAAUACCGCUUAUGUCUUCAUAUGAUUGUGUCAUCUACCAACCCUGACCCCUACCCCCGUGCACACUACACUCUUCCCUGCCAGACUCAAGUCUGCCCUUGGACUUGCUCACCAGGCUACAGGCUUCCAAGUGCACUCAGGGGUACCUGCAUCCCACUUUUAAAACCAAUGUAGCUACCUGGACUUCGUUCUGUGUCUGCUGGACUUGUGGUGUUUUAAAGCACCUGCGAGUGCGCCUGAACUGUUUACCCUUGCUUGGUAUUCCCGUGGUUCUGUUUACCAUAGUUGGUAAGC